Molecule: non-coding RNA, 1652 nt
Organism: Chlorocebus sabaeus (green monkey)
Lineage: Eukaryota; Metazoa; Chordata; Mammalia; Primates; Cercopithecidae
Source: RefSeq, a predicted model, not a curated record
UCCGCCCGCCUCGGCAUCCCAAAGUGCUGGGAUUACGGGCAUGAGCCACCGCACCCUGCCAACCCCAGUCUUUUAUCUGAACUCCUAAUCAACAUUUUCAACUACUAUGCAUCCCUAUAUUGAUGUCCCAAUCCCAUCUUAAAUUCAACAUGUCCAAAUGAAAUGGUUUUUUAAAUCCCCACCUCAACUCCCUUCUCUCUUUAAUUCCAAUCUCAAUUAAUGGCAACUCUACACCUAAUUAUCCUAUGUAGAGAUCUCUGAGCUAUUCUUCAUAACUUUCUCUGAACUCUGAAGCAGCUGAAGUUUUUUCUACUUGGUUGAAAACUGUUCCCCCAAAAUUCAUGUCCAUCAGGAAUCUAUGAAUGUGACCUUACUUGGAAAUCGGGUCUUUGUAGAUGUAAUCCAAUUCAGAUGAGGUCACACUAGAUUAGAGUGGGCCCUAAAUCCAAUGACUGGUAUCAUAAAAAGAAGAGGGAAAUUUGGACAUAGAGACACACAGAGGGAAAAUGGCCAUAUGAAGAAGGAAACUGAGAUUGGAGUGAUGCUGCAACUCUAAGCCAUGGAAUGCCAGGGACUGUCUGAGGUCACUGGAAACAAGAAGAGGUGAAAAAAUAAACACUCAGAGGUGAAGUCACCCAAGAACCCUCACCUACCUCUCAAGCACUGUGAACAAUCACUUUCUCUGGCUGUCUUCUUGGAGCCCCUGCUAAUUCAUUAUUGAAAAAUACCUGCGGCCUGCAUUUGGCCUUAUGUUGUCAUUUACUUGGGUCUGGCAGGGUGUUUAGAAGGCUACACCUUAGGCUGGGGGUCAAGAAUGUCUUCCCUGAUGUGAGGUUUACACAGAGAUCUGAAGAAUGAAGAGUCCAGCUAAGUGAAGUGGGAGCGGAUUAAGGGAAUGCAAGGACAUGAAAGAGUGUCCUAGGCAGAAGGAACAACAUAUGCAAAGGCCGUGAGGUGGGAGUGAAGAAGGAACAUUUGAAGAACUGAGAGAAGGUCACUGUGGAAAGCCAGAUGCUGUGUGAUAUGAAUAAUGCAACAGGGGAAAUUGAGAUAUUAGCAAAAGAGGGAUUGAUGACCCAUGGGCUUGAAGAUGUACUGGAACUAAAGUACUUCCUAAGGGUGGCUACUCCAAUGUAGCUGUAGUAUAUGUACUGAAGGAAGAUCCUCUCAUACUGCCACAGCCAACAGAUAAAGUUGUGAAUCUUUUUUGGGAGAAGCCGUUAAGGACAGGUCUGUGAAAUGGAAGAAUCUCUGGAUCACUACAAAGUCUGGCUCAGUGACUAUGGCUUUGCAAACACUAAACAUUCCUAUCUCAAGUCCUGUAGAUGACUUGAAGUAGCAUACACAAGCAUGCCUUAUAAACAUCUUCAGUCUUUAUCAACUCUUUGGAGAUUCAGCCAUUCUUUUUUGUACUUCAGGGAAUUAAAUAAUUUUAUAAUGUGGUAUAAAUCUGAGCAUGGCAGAUGGUAGAAGAAAUUUUGUCAUAUAUUUUUAAAGAAAUAAAAAUGUAUUAUGUUUUAAAAUUCCUUUAGCUGUUUUUCUUACAAAGCUCCCAACAACGUAGUUACCAAGUAAAUUAUCUCAGAUGUGAUUUUUCAGUCCUUGCUAAUCUGUUUAUAAAAUCUUUUGCUAUUUUGUAAUUUUAUCAUUUA